UCAUUAAAGCGUUGCCGACGUCGGCCCCGGCCGUUCGGCUUGAAAUAUAGCCUGGACGGUGCUGGAGGUCGCCGGCACUUGCCCAUUCUUGCCUACUGACCCAGUUGCCUCGGCGAGCCGUGCCACUCGUGGCAGACCGGAAGCCGUCUGAACCCCUAGGGUUCAGGCGGCCCUGGCCAGUGCCCGCCGACGGACAGACUUAAAAUCUUUAUAUAUUGGCCGUCUGAGCGUAUAAAGCAAAUCAAUUAAAACUUUCAACAACGGAUCUCUUGGUUCCGGCAUCGAUGAAGAACGCAGCGAAAUGCGAUAAGUAAUGUGAAUUGCAGAAUUCCGUGAAUCAUCGAAUCUUUGAACGCACAUUGCGCCCCCUGGUAUUCCGGGGGGCAUGCCUGUUCGAGCGUCAUUGCAACCCUCAAGCUCGGCUUGUGUGAUGGGCGAUCGUCCUUCCCCUAGGGGCGGGACGAGUCCGAAAAGCAGUGGCUAGGCCGCGAUUCCGGCGCCUGAGCGAAUGGGAUUUCCACCGCUUCUAGGACCGGCCGGUACUUGGCCUUUAAACACGGUCUUAACUGACCAUCUAGGUUGACCUCGGAUCAAGUAGGGAUACCCGCUGAACUUAAGCAUAUCA
This 625-nucleotide unclassified non-coding RNA is filed under the name Arthroderma quadrifidum. RNAcentral describes it as "sequence contains ITS1, 5.8S rRNA gene, ITS2". The stretch from base 250 to 403 matches the Rfam family "5.8S ribosomal RNA". The record is from RNAcentral. Lineage: Eukaryota; Fungi; Ascomycota; Eurotiomycetes; Onygenales; Arthrodermataceae.